AUGGAAACCGCCAGCAAAAACGUCACCAAUGUAGUGCGCUCCAUGAAGCUGCUCAAGGUCGACGGCUACUGUGCCACCAAAACUAUGGGCAACGACGACUGCAUCAAGUCCACCUACAGCAUUGGUGGGUAUGAGUGGGAGAUCUGCAUCUACCCUGCCAUGAUGCCCCGCGCACGCGACGGCACCCCGUGGGUGGCGGUGAAGCUCGUGUUCCUCAGCGAGACCUGCCCGUCCAUCGUGAGGGCGAACCUGAGCUGUCGUCUGGUUGAUCCGAGAAGCGUGCUUCGACCGUCUGAAGAAAAGAGUGUGUCAUGUAUAUUCAACCGUUCAUGGGUAUCUCGUUGUCUCCAGAUGUGCUCGCCUUUCGUGAGUGAAGAUUGUUCACUUCCAGUUCGUCUCAUGUCGACGGGCAGCCUGGCAUCAUCCGGUUUUCUCAGGAAUGAUUCUUUUACCGUGCUAUGUGUCAUCACGUUGCUGAAAGAGGAUUUGCCAGCACGAGCAAUCCCAGGUAAAGAAGUGACUGGGUCAUCACCUAGCCUGCAGAAACACCUUGCUGAGCUCCUGCACAGUGGGUUGGAAGCGGAUGUCACAUUUGUUGUAUCUGGCAAGUCUUUCGCUGCACACAAGGUCAUUCUGGCUGCAAGGUCCCCUGUACUGAUGGCCGAGUUCUUUGGCCACAUGAAGGAGACGAGCUCUCAGCGCGUCGAGAUCAAGGACAUUGAUGCGGUGGUAUUCAAGUCGUUGCUUUACUUCAUCUACACUGACUCUGUGCUGGAAUUUGAUCAGCAGCAUGAGGCGGUCACUAUGUUGGCUCAGCAUUUACUUGCAGCUGCUGACAAGUAUGGACUGGACAGGCUCAAGGAGAUCUGCGAAGGUAAGCUCUCUGAUGGCAUCAGUGUCGACACGGCAGCGACAACUCUGGCUUUAGCUGAGCAGCAUAACUGCCCCAAACUCAAGGUGAAGUGCGUUGAAUUCAUAGUUAGUACUCCUGAGAUUCUUGAUGCUGUGUUGGCGACGGAUGGAUAUAAGCAUCUGGAGGCAAGCUGCCCUAUGGUGUUGCCUGAGCUUCUUAAGUCUGCGCGGGGAAGAAAGAGUUGA
Molecule: ribosomal RNA, 1098 nt
Filed under: Triticum aestivum (bread wheat)
Lineage: Eukaryota; Viridiplantae; Streptophyta; Magnoliopsida; Poales; Poaceae
Description: partial small subunit ribosomal RNA
Source: RNAcentral